Molecule: ribosomal RNA, 615 nt
Filed under: Staphylococcus aureus
Lineage: Bacteria; Bacillati; Bacillota; Bacilli; Caryophanales; Staphylococcaceae
Description: partial 23S ribosomal RNA
Rfam family: Bacterial large subunit ribosomal RNA
Source: RNAcentral
GUGAGCGGAUGAACUGAGGGUAGCGGAGAAAUUCCAAUCGAACCUGGAGAUAGCUGGUUCUCUCCGAAAUAGCUUUAGGGCUAGCCUCAAGUGAUGAUUAUUGGAGGUAGAGCACUGUUUGGACGAGGGGCCCCUCUCGGGUUACCGAAUUCAGACAAACUCCGAAUGCCAAUUAAUUUAACUUGGGAGUCAGAACAUGGGUGAUAAGGUCCGUGUUCGAAAGGGAAACAGCCCAGACCACCAGCUAAGGUCCCAAAAUAUAUGUUAAGUGGAAAAGGAUGUGGCGUUGCCCAGACAACUAGGAUGUUGGCUUAGAAGCAGCCAUCAUUUAAAGAGUGCGUAAUAGCUCACUAGUCGAGUGACACUGCGCCGAAAAUGUACCGGGGCUAAACAUAUUACCGAAGCUGUGGAUUGUCCUUUGGACAAUGGUAGGAGAGCGUUCUAAGGGCGUUGAAGCAUGAUCGUAAGGACAUGUGGAGCGCUUAGAAGUGAGAAUGCCGGUGUGAGUAGCGAAAGACGGGUGAGAAUCCCGUCCACCGAUUGACUAAGGUUUCCAGAGGAAGGCUCGUCCGCUCUGGGUUAGUCGGGUCCUAAGCUGAGGCCGACAGGCGUAGG